GUCUAUGGCCACGCUACCCUGAACAUGCUACCCCAAUCCUGUCUGAUCUCGGAAGCUAAGCAGGGUCAGGCCUGGUUAGUACUUGGAUGGGAGACCACCUAGGAAGACCAGGUGCUGUAGGCA
RNAcentral lists this ribosomal RNA (123 nucleotides) under Pteropus alecto (black flying fox). The record is from RNAcentral. Lineage: Eukaryota; Metazoa; Chordata; Mammalia; Chiroptera; Pteropodidae.